Molecule: long non-coding RNA, 199 nt
Filed under: Lathyrus oleraceus (garden pea)
Lineage: Eukaryota; Viridiplantae; Streptophyta; Magnoliopsida; Fabales; Fabaceae
Description: Pisum sativum (pea) long non-coding RNA (PSAT_LNC033865)
Source: RNAcentral
GAAACCAACUUCAAACCAUUUUGUUAAUCCAUUUCAAUUUUAUUUCAUUACAUUUGAUUCCAUACAAAAAAUACAAAAUUUGGCAUUUUUGACCAACUGUUGACUUUGGUCAACCGUUGACUUUUUGGUCAACUUUGACCAAAGUCAACCCAAUUUCAUUAAACCCUAAAUUCACCCAUAAUUGUCCAUUGAAUUCCAU